UCCUGCUCUCCGCCCUCCGCCGGGACACUAAAUACCGUGUCCUGAUGCGACCGGGGCCUGAUUCUUCAUUGGGUACGCUCUCCCGACGACCCGCCCCCCUUGCUCAAGGCUCUCUCUGAUUGGUGGGUGCUACGCGGAAGCGGGUCGGACUCUGUGGACUCGGGCCGAGGGUCGCGGCGCGCGGGUGCUUUCUCGCCUUGGACUGGGCGCGUGGUAUUGUGCGGCAGUUUCUGCUCUUUACGGGUCUCUGGCCAGAUCCAAGGUGGGGCCGCGGGCCUGGCCACGCCACCGACGGGGUCCCUCACGCGGCAGUCCUCCUGCUUAGUGGGAGUCUGUCGGGAAAGGUCCGAGUGUCCACCCCACCCGUCGGUUCCCGCGUCUCCGGCCCCGAUCGCCAGUCUGACGCCCUAAGGACGCUUGCAGCCUGGAGAAGCCCCUGGCGAGGCCCGCGGCUUCCUCCCCUGAGGAAGCGCUGUGCCCGGGCUCAAAUCCCGGCUCUGGCCAUUAGUACCCCGGGGGACAGGGGUCUUGAUGGAAGCCGUGACUGCGAGUACACACGCCUGUGUAGUUAAUUUCGGACUGGAGAUGUGAACCCGGAGCCCGGGAGCGGUGACAGCCCCGGGAAAGUCCAGGUCCUUUCCGAAGCCAGCUUGAGGGACACCCGGAAAAUCACACCAACCAGAGCAGGGAAGGCAGCCAGGGCUGCAGACUGCAAAAACGGAAAUGCAAGGGUCGAAGAAUCAGAAAAACCCACAACAAAUGAUGGACCAGAUGGAUCCAGGCUCUUAAGUCAUUGUCAUUUAAAAAAAGAAAAAAGAAAAAAAAUGCGGCACCGGCACCGAGGGAUGGCUGUUCUAGCUUAAAACAAACUUCAGAGACGUGGUGACCAGGGCUGGUUUCUCUGACUGCUUCUCUGUGGAGUUGGAGAAGAGGUUUAGGCAGCUCAAGAGGAGGAUGGGAAUCCCACGAGGCCAGCACAGAGAACUCUGGGGAGAAUGUGGACGAUGGAGUUCCUGUUCUAUUUGAAGGUUCUACAGAGUUCCUUAAGUAUGGCACCCAUCAAGUGGCGUAGUCUCACUAAGGGUCAGAGUUCAGGAUCACAGCAUGUGCAUCACGGAGGGUUCCUGGAUUACUUUGAAGAUAAGAAGCAUGAAAAACUAUGUCAGCACUGGCCGAGGCCAAGGCAGACACAGAGAGAGAGAGAGAAAGAAAAAGAUAUCUUCCAUCAGCUGUUUCACUUCUCAAAUGCUUGCCACAGCUGGAGCUGAGCCAGCCCAAAUCAGGGGCCUGAACCCAUCCGGGUCUCCCACAUAGGAGGCACGGACUCAGGCAGAGGAAUAGAGAUGGAGAUCUUCCAUCUGCUGGUUUAUUCCCCAAAUGCUUGCAACAGCCCGGAAUGGGCCAACCUGAAGCCAGGAGCCCCAAACCCAGACGCUUUCUCCAUUGCUCAAAGAGUUCCUGAGCAAUCCCGAACCUUAAAUCCACCAUCAGACAAGCAGCAGGUGAAAGCGGGCCUUAUUGUUCUCACACCUGACUCUGCUCGAGAAAGCUGCAGGCGUGUGGGAGUGACUGAAGGACAGAGAAGCCGGAGGUGCUGCCAAGGGAACUGCCAGUUUUGUGGGAGGGGAGGGGAAUGAGAGCCCCAGCCCGCAGGGCAGGGGGAGGAAGGAGGUGAGUGGAGUGCCUCCUUGUCCACCAGGGCCGGCACAUCACAGGGCCUGCCUGUGUCCAGCGGCAGCUACUGCUGCAUUCUGACUUCCACAGGGUUUGUCCUUACUGCCCACGUGCUAUGGAGACAGGAGAAUUCACGAGGAAGUGGCCCGUCCUGAACUGUUCCUCACCUGAUGUCAUCAAUAGCUCCGGAACACGCCUCCCCCCAGUGCAGCUCAGACCAGGACCCGGGCAGCACUGGGCCACGUCGACCGAGAGCAUUGAUAAGCAUCUGCUGAUGCCCAAGUGGUCGCGGUGAUGUCACACACGGCAGUGAAGGCUGCAGAAGUCAGCGACAGUGUCCACGCAACCUAUUGUACAAGUACUAACCAGAGGGCACUAACACACACGCACGCGCACACACAUAGACUGGUUUUAAGGAAUUUGCUCACACACUUACAGGGGCAGGCAGGUCCAAAAAAUCUCCAGCAGGCUGCAGAGCCAGGAGAGCCAGUGCAUAGCUCCUGUCCCAAGGCCCUCUGAGGGUAGAAUCCCCUCCUGCUGGGGGUGGGUCACCCUAGGUUCCACACAGGCUUUCCUCUGAUCGUCACGGAGGGUGACCUGCUUUGUUCAAAGUCCACCAGUUUAAAUGUCUAUCUCACACAACACACCCUAACUGAAACGUCCCAAAUUAAUAUCUUAGCAGAUUAUCUUGGCACCACGGCCCAGACAAGCUGGCACAUAAAACUAAUCAUCGCUGGUGCCGUGGCUCAAUAGACUAAUCUUCCACCUUGCGGCGCCAGCACACUGGGUUCUAGUCCCGGUCGGGGCGCUGGAUUCUGUCCUGGUUGCCCCUCUUCCAGGCCAGCUCUCUGCUAUGGCCCGGGAGUGCAGUGGAGGAUGGCCCAGGUCCUUGGGCCCUGCACCCGCAUGGAAGACCAGGAGAAGCACCUGGCUCCUGGCUUCGGAUCAGCACGAUGCCGCGGCGGCCAUUGGAGGGUGAACCAAUGGCAAAAGGAAGACCUUUCUCUCUGUCUCUCUCUCUCUCACUGUCCACUCUGCCUGUCAAAAAUAAAAAUAAAAAAAUAAAAUAAAAAAAAACACUAAUCAUCAUCCUUAACCACGCCGAUGUAAAGUGACUCAAGCCAAACCUAACACAAAGCCUAAACCUGAGCGAUGCAGGCUCUUUUGUCCAUAUGGGAGAAAGGGUCACAGAAUUUCUUACCACUGGAAAUGGGCGCUUGGGCUUCCUCUACUGCCUGCCAUCAUCACUGGUAAUGAUACCAAGUAGCAGGCUGUCCAAUUGGAGCGGGCCAGGCUGGACUCUAGACUGGCACUAGAUGACAUCAUGGCUGUCGGGACUAAGAGCUGCUGCUCUCCCCGGGACGUUCUCACAGUUCGAUAAGCCCAGGACCCUGGGGGACAAGGGUGAGAUCAGUAUUGCCAGUUGGCCUUACUAUGUGGUUGGGAGUUCUGCUGUCAGUAACCUUAACUUUUUUUUACAUUAAAUAUUUACUGGGGCUGGCACUGUAGCGCAGCGGGUUAAAGCCCUGGUCUGAAGCACCAGAAUCCCAUAUGGGUGCCGGUUCUAGUCCCAGCUGCUCCUCUUCCAAUCCUGUUCUCUGCUGUGGCCUGGGAAGGCAGUAGAAGAUGGCCCAAGUCCUUGGGCCCCUGCACCCGUGAAGGAGACUCGGAAAAAGCUUCUGGCUCCCGGCUUUGGAUGGGCGCAGCUCUGGCUGUUGCAGAGUUGAACCAGCAGAUGGAAGCUGGGGAGUGAACCAGCAGAUGGA
Molecule: non-coding RNA, 3440 nt
Organism: Oryctolagus cuniculus (rabbit)
Lineage: Eukaryota; Metazoa; Chordata; Mammalia; Lagomorpha; Leporidae
Source: RefSeq, a predicted model, not a curated record